This 72-nucleotide transfer RNA is filed under the name Candidatus Helarchaeota archaeon. Its description in RNAcentral is "tRNA-His". It matches the Rfam family "tRNA". From Rfam's summary of the family: Transfer RNA (tRNA) molecules are approximately 80 nucleotides in length. Their secondary structure includes four short double-helical elements and three loops (D, anti-codon, and T loops). The record is from RNAcentral. Lineage: Archaea; Promethearchaeati; Candidatus Helarchaeota.
GCCGAGAUGGGGUAGCGGUAGUCCUAGGAGACUGUGGAUCUCCUGGCCCGGGUUCGAAUCCCGGUCUCGGCC